CGGGAGGCAGCAGUGAGGAAUAUUGGUCAAUGGGCGCAAGCCUGACACCAGCCACGUCGCGUGAAGGAAGACGGCCCUACGGGUUGUAAACUUCUUUUGCAAGGGAAUAAAGUUGGCCACGCGUGGCCUUUUGCAUGUACCUUAAGAAUAAGGAUCGGCUAACUCCGUGCCAGCAGCCGCGGUAAUACGGAGGAUCCGAGCGUUAUCCGGAUUUAUUGGGUUUAAAGGGUGCUCAGGCGGGGGAUUAAGUCGGCGGUGAAAUUUUGCNGCUCAACCGUAAAAGUGCCUUUGAAACUGGUUUCCUUGAGUGNGGAUGAGGUAGGCGGAAUUUGUGGUGUAGCGGUGAAAUGCAUAGAUAUCACGAGGAACUCCGAUUGCGCAGGCAGCUUACUAAGCCAUAACUGACGCUCAAGCACGAAGGCGUGGCUGAUCAAACAGGAUUAGAUACCCUGGUAGUCCACGCAGUAAACGAUGAUUACUGGCUGUUGUGCGAUAUAAUGUAAGCGGGGAGCGAAA
Molecule: ribosomal RNA, 516 nt
Filed under: uncultured bacterium
Lineage: Bacteria
Description: bacterial SSU rRNA
Rfam family: Bacterial small subunit ribosomal RNA
Source: RNAcentral